This is a long non-coding RNA of Peromyscus maniculatus bairdii (prairie deer mouse), 2145 nucleotides long. RefSeq lists it as uncharacterized. The record is from RefSeq and is a predicted model, not a curated record. Lineage: Eukaryota; Metazoa; Chordata; Mammalia; Rodentia; Cricetidae.
UCCAGCCCUCUCUCUACUUCUUAGCAUGAGAUAGGGUCUCACUAAGUUGCCCAGGCUGGUCUCAAGCUUACAACUCUUCCUCAGUCUCAUGCAUAAGGAGGAUUAUUGUCCCAGACCUCAAGGCCCAGCAAAAGCCAAUUCCUGUGAAGAGAGAAGGACCCCAAAGAGGGCAGAUUGAAGAGCACCAGAACUGAGGUAGCAAAACUGAGACUCCCUGCGUUGAAGUCACUCAAGGAGGAAGUGGGGUUCUGGAAAAGGAAAUUCAGAACUCGGUGCUUCUGCAUUCAGAAGCAAGCUAUUCACUUCCGGUUCCUGUCCUGCCUCCUUUGGGACGGGUGUGCGGUGCUUACUAAGCUCUUUUGAAAAAUCCAGUGACAGCAGGUGAACUGCUCUGCAGGAGGCGGUACUAGGACGACAGCAGGAAGUAGAGAAAUACGUUUUUAGAGAGAAAAAGCAAAACCCAGUUGGGGCUGAGUUUGCAUUUGACCUGUGCUAGGAAGCAGUUGCUUGGUUUAGCAAGGAGGCAUCUGAGGCUUGCAGACGCCAAGUACCUCGCCCAGGGCCACACAACCAAUGAAUGACCAGCAGAGAGGUUCAAAUCCAGUUCCAAGCCCACCUUUGAAGGGAUGCCGCUGCAAACAAGCCAGAGAUUGUUUGGAGAAGGAAAACAACGAAUUCCCCACCAACCUCCAGUUUCUAUUUAUUAAAGCCUGAGUGAAUUCAUCUGGGGUGAAUCUCAACAAAUACUUACUUGGCCACCCCUCCCCCACCAGGAGGUCAAGGCAUAGCUUAAAGGGUAUUUAGAACCACUUGACCAUGAAGCCCACCAGCCUUCCCCCCACUCCCGGAUGACCCCAGCAGCCCUUACCCAGGAUUCCCCACGCCAGCCCAGCUCCAACAUGCCUGUUAGAAAUGAGAGACAUCGUCUGUUAGACACAAGCCACAAAAGCUGUGAGACAUACUUUCGCUCUUACUGGUAGCAAUUAAUGUGUAACGAGUCAUUGCCAAAGUAAGUUGCUUAUUUCAAAGCAACUCAAAGGGGCUAUUUCCUUUUGUAGCCCAUUCAUUAAGACGUUGAGUCACUUGGUAGCAGCAAUUGAAACCCUGUUGAGGAAUGACCACUCGCCCAGCUUGAGCUGAGCUCCUGGGACUCUGAGGUUAUUCCCUCCCUGGCCAUUCGAGGAGAGCUGGAGAAUAUCUUAUUUUGAUAUUUCCCUCCAAGGCAGGAGCUUGUGUGGGAGAAGGGAGUAAAAUCACAAGUUAGAAUUGGUAUCGCUGGCAAGAGCUUGUAAGGUCACCCCAGUGUCAUCCACCCUCACAAAUGACAGUUCCAAAACAAAUAGCCCUUCGAAAAGGGAAAAUGCCGGUUGUCGUCUUGUCAAACACAAAGCUAACCAUUGUGUCUUGUAUGAACACCCUGUGGUUUCCACCAAUUUUGCAAAGCACAUUUCCCCUUGGGCAGGGCUUGUCAGGUUCCCCCCCUCACCCCCACCCCAUGACAUCCUUCCAUUGACAUACCCUCAGCCCCAAGGGAGGAGAAAUCCACCCAGAUAUUUGUAGCUCUGAAAUUUCAUUUGCGUCAUCUGUGUCCAAGAUGGGUCAUUAUUCUAGACUCAAACCACAUCCUGCAAAAUGAAAACAGUGAGGGGACCUUUGACCAGAAGCUGGAGAGGAGGUGGGACAAAGCAAGGGACAGGGGAACAGGGAGGAGCGAGGUGUUAAAAGCCUCAGGGGCUCUGGAGUCCAGAAACAAACUCCCUGUGGCGCAAUGUAAUGAUGACCUCUUCUUGGCUAAGUGCGGUACCCUGGAGACUACUAUAAGUAACUUAUAAUAGAAAUUUUAUUAGCGGCAGUAAUUUUUUAUGAUAAUUAGAGUAAUCAGCAGCCCAUAAAAUCCGAAGAUAUAUAGUUAUAUCUUUUAUAAGGAAAAGUGUCUCUCCUAACUAUAGAAAGACCGUAAAUGGCCAAAGCAGCUUUAUGGGCAGUCCUGGCUUUUAUGCCGGCUGUUUGGUGUUCCCUUCCUUAUUAACACUCUUCAUUGCUUUGGCAGUAAACAUUUGAUGACAAAUUCAAAGUGUGCUCAAUGAGAGCCAACGCUGCAGAUGUGGCUGCAAGAGCCCUCUGCCCCCUCUCCCCUCCCGCUUU